GCCCACGGGAAGUGACGCACGCUGCCACGAGGUCAGCGUCCUCCGCACGAGCGCGGCCCUCGCUACAAAGGACUCGCCCCUCUGCCGCCGACUCUCUCGAAUCUGUCUCAUCUCUCUUGACUCGGCUGCCCUGGUCCUUAAUCGCUGCGCCCCAGCUCCCUCGCGCUGGAGCCUAGACCUGGCCCGGGCUCGCGUAGUGCGGCCUGCGCGUCGCCCGGACUCGACCUCCCCCCCGGGGUGACGCACUUCCGGCGCGACGGAGCCGCGGAGACGGCAGGCCCUCCCGACCCGCAGCGGUGCCGGCGCAGGAAGAAUGGCGAGCUCCUUCCCCCGGCGCCGCGGCGGGGCGGAAAGAAAGCCGACCUGCUGGCUUCCCGACCUUUUGAGCCAAGAGACCUCUUCCACAAGCUUCCUCAGGGCCAGGUUCUCGAGCGACACUCUGAAGGUGGCGUUUUUAAUCAGCAGGUGGGCGCCGAGGAAGCAGGCCUGUGGCGGCCAACGGUAGGAAACCUCCGGCCGCGACCGGCGGGUCCUGGCGGCCGCUGCGCGCCCCUCGAGCCCGGCCUGCCUGGCCUCGUUUCGCACAGAGCUCUCCAGCCCCAAGUUACCGUCCCCGAGCCUCGCUUGAGCCGAGCUUGGCCGUCUGCUCACGCCAGUGCCUGUGCAUUGCUGAGAACCCAGCUCCAGCCUGGGGACCUGGACCAAGGCCUGCUGUAGCACAUGUUUUGGCCACCACAGGCCCAAAGCAACAGGCCCAAAUGGCUGUGGAUGGAAACCUCCAAGAUGAGAUUGGAUCCAACACAUGGAGAACACCUUACCAGACCAUGUCCGCACCACAGCACCAGGUGAAACUGGCAGGGUCUUCGGGAGGUGGGGCCUGGCAGUAGGUCUUCAGGUCAUUUGGGAGCAGGCCUUUGAAGAUCACAAGAGCCCUUUCCUUUUUGCUUCUUGGCCACGAGAUGACUGGUUUUCUCUACAUGAGCUUCUGCCAUGACCUGCUGCCAUAAGCCCAAAACAUUGAGGACAACAGACCAUGGACUGAAACUUCCCAAACC
Molecule: long non-coding RNA, 1055 nt
Filed under: Heterocephalus glaber (naked mole-rat)
Lineage: Eukaryota; Metazoa; Chordata; Mammalia; Rodentia; Bathyergidae
Description: lncRNA (ENSHGLG00000046740.1)
Source: RNAcentral